GACGAACGCUGGCGGCGUGCUUAACACAUGCAAGUCGAGCGGAAAGGCCCUUCGGGGUACUCGAGCGGCGAACGGGUGAGUAACACGUGAGUAACCUGCCCCAGACUUUGGGAUAACCCUCGGAAACGGGGGCUAAUACCGGAUACGACACAGCUUCGCAUGGGGUCUGUGUGGAAAGUUUUUCGGUGUGGGAUGGGCGCGCGGCCUAUCAGCUUGUUGGUGGGGUGAUGGCCUACCAAGGCGACGACGGGUAGCCGGCCUGAGAGGGCGACCGGCCACACUGGGACUGAGACACGGCCCAGACUCCUACGGGAGGCAGCAGUGGGGAAUAUUGCACAAUGGGCGGAAGCCUGAUGCAGCGACGCCGCGUGAGGGAUGACGGCCUUCGGGUUGUAAACCUCUUUCAGCAGGGACGAAGCGUAAGUGACGGUACCUGCAGAAGAAGCGCCGGCCAACUACGUG
Molecule: ribosomal RNA, 462 nt
Filed under: uncultured bacterium
Lineage: Bacteria
Description: partial 16S ribosomal RNA
Rfam family: Bacterial small subunit ribosomal RNA
Source: RNAcentral